This 55-nucleotide transfer RNA is filed under the name Pichia membranifaciens. It matches the Rfam family "tRNA", at positions 1 to 53 of the family's 71-position model. Rfam says of the family: Transfer RNA (tRNA) molecules are approximately 80 nucleotides in length. Their secondary structure includes four short double-helical elements and three loops (D, anti-codon, and T loops). The record is from Rfam by way of RNAcentral. Lineage: Eukaryota; Fungi; Ascomycota; Pichiomycetes; Pichiales; Pichiaceae.
CUCCACAUAGCGUAAUGGUGAUCGCGUCUGACUACGGAUCAGAAGAUUCUAGGUU